RNAcentral lists this ribosomal RNA (481 nucleotides) under Ferrissia sp. P2307. RNAcentral describes it as "partial 16S ribosomal RNA". It matches the Rfam family "Bacterial large subunit ribosomal RNA", at positions 1795 to 2620 of the family's 2925-position model. Lineage: Eukaryota; Metazoa; Mollusca; Gastropoda; Ancylidae. The record is from RNAcentral.
CUCGCCUUGUUUUUCAAAAACAUAGUUAAAAGAAAAGAUUUUUAAUUAUUCCUGCCCAGUGUAUAUUUAUAAAUGGCCGCAGUACUUUGACUGUGCUAAGGUAGCAUAAUCAAUUGGCUUUUAAUUUGAGUCUGGAAUGAAAGGAUUUAUGGGGAAACGCUGUUUCAAAUAUAUAAUAUUAAAUUUAUUUAAAAAGUGAAAAUACUUUUUUAUAGAAAAAAGACGAGAAGACCCUAAGAAUUUUUAGAAAAAUAUAAUAAUAUUUUUUUCUUUUUGUUGGGGCGACAAUUAAGCAAUAAUAUUAACCUUAAUUAUUUAUUUAAUCGGUUAUUUCAGUAAAAAUUAAAUUACCUUAGGGAUAACAGCAUAAUUUUUAAAAGUUUGUGACCUCGAUGUUGGACUAGGAACUUUAUAACUAGCAGUUAAAAGAGAUUGUUCUGUUCGAACAGUAUUUUCCGACGUGACCUGAGUUCAGAACCGG